GACAGAGGGUGCAAACGUUGUUCGGAAUUACUGGGCGUAAAGCGUGCGCAGGCGGUCCGCAAAGUCUGAUGUGAAAGCCCCGGGCUCAACCUGGGAACUGCAUUGGAAACUAACGGGCUCGAGUGUGGCAGAGGGGGGUGGAAUUCCACGUGUAGCAGUGAAAUGCGUAGAGAUGUGGAGGAACACCGAUGGCGAAGGCAGCCCCCUGGGCUAACACUGACGCUCAGGCACGAAAGCGUGGGGAGCAAACAGG
This 253-nucleotide ribosomal RNA is filed under the name uncultured bacterium. Its description in RNAcentral is "partial 16S ribosomal RNA". It matches the Rfam family "Bacterial small subunit ribosomal RNA", at positions 524 to 776 of the family's 1533-position model. The record is from RNAcentral.